AAGUCGUAACAAGGUUUCCGUAGGUGAACCUGCGGAAGGAUCAUUAGAGAUUGGCCUCUGGCCGUGUCUAUUCCACACACACCGUGAACUGUACGUCUUGGGGCUCUCGGGCCCCGGGCGCAAACACCAAAAACAUUAGUGUAAUGAAUGUAAAUCAUUGUAACAAAAACAAAACUUUCAACAACGGAUCUCUUGGCUCUC
RNAcentral lists this unclassified non-coding RNA (201 nucleotides) under Tremellomycetes sp. RNAcentral's name for it is "partial contains small subunit ribosomal RNA, internal transcribed spacer 1, and 5.8S ribosomal RNA". The stretch from base 1 to 46 matches the Rfam family "Eukaryotic small subunit ribosomal RNA", at positions 1786 to 1831 of the family's 1831-position model. Lineage: Eukaryota; Fungi; Basidiomycota; Tremellomycetes. The record is from RNAcentral.